This 1772-nucleotide long non-coding RNA is filed under the name Felis catus (domestic cat). RNAcentral's name for it is "lncRNA (ENSFCAG00000046582.2)". The record is from RNAcentral. Lineage: Eukaryota; Metazoa; Chordata; Mammalia; Carnivora; Felidae.
CCCUCUUUGGGCUUUUGGGUCUGAAAUGAAAGUUUCUCAAAGGUGAUUUCCCAUCAAGUAGGGCAAAGGUUCAGCAAUGUGGAUCUUUCUGAGACUGAGAUUUAUUUUUAUUUUCCCAGAGGUUCCUGAGAAUUGCUUGUUACUGCUCUUUGACUAUCUUCAGAGAUUGUGUGACCUGGUUGCACAUGCCUGCCUACCAAGUAACAGAAAGAUGCUGCCAUUGCACUGUGAGCUGAGAUUCACAUGGAACUGUUCCAUAGAGCUAUGGCUGGAAUCAGAGGCUCUUACUAAACCAAGGAAUGGUGUGUUCCUUAGGCCAGCCGCAUCACCUGGGAGCUUGUUAGAAAUGCAGAAUUUCCACCUACAGACUCCAAAUCUGCAUUUUAACAAGUCUGCGGAAGAUGGGAUUGUGUGCUCGAGUUUGAGAAGCACAGUUUAAGGUUUUAUCUCCAGUAAUUUGCCUUCUCUGAAAAGGGCAUCCCUCCUGCUUUAGUGUAGAGACAGUUCAUAAAGCCUAGAACAGCAAACUCUCAUUUAGAAUCAAUUAAGAGAAGUUUUCGUGGCUCUGGUUGUUUUCCGCUUUGAAACAAAUAGAGCCUUUUGAAAUCUUUAACGGAUGCUUUUUUCCCCAGCUGAUUUUAGCUGGGCCUAACACAUCCCCCGGUCACGGCUCAGAGUCCUGGAUGAAUGAAGGCACAAGGCGGCCGUGGUAACUGUGUAUUUCUUCUUGGCGUUUCUGGACCUGCCAAAGACCGGUGAAAUGUUGAAGGUUCACCACCCCUUCCAUUGACUUGGCUCUCCAGUUCUUUCUCUGCUUUUUGUGGGUUCCAUGAAAGGGUGAUAAUAACCUAUUUUACUUAUCCAUCAAGAGCUAUGACCCAGAAGCUUCUUCCCAGUUCGUCAAGAAAGGAGGGCGGCAUGGCUAGGUCAGCCAAUCAGAGUAAUGAGGCUCUCCAGCCUGGCAAAGUGAGAUUAAUCUAAAUCAAAUACUUUCCACCUUGACAAUUUUAACUAAUUCCCCCAGGAAAGUACAAGAAAUACGUGGAGCCCCGACAGUCGCACAAGUCUCCUGGUACGGCGAGGCAGGUAAUACCUUUUAAGCUUGUUAAUAUCUUCUCCCGCUGGGUUCUACAACUGACUCAAAGCAGCAGCGACUCCUCCACCAGCAUUACAAAGGAAGGCAGCUUUCAGGGAGGAAGACCAAAAAUCCGGGGCUCUACAGAGGAUGGCUUUAUUCUGUGGCCGAUCACUCCGCCUGCCUUGAUUAAAUUGCUUCCCGCAUUGUCUUUCUGCCUCUGUCCCAGCAAUCAUCAGAGGAUACAAAGUGCCGGGAUUCAAGGGCUGUACUGCGAGAUAUUCAGGCUGCAGAUUAGAGAGGCUUCCUUCCUUCCUCCCACAAGAUGCAUAUGCUAUGCAGUGUUCCAUCUGCAGGGACCACACCGCGAGGCGGACCUGGGAGAGGGCAGCUCAGGUGCGCCAUGACUCCUGGGGGCGCGGGGUGUCCCCCUCCUCGCAGCGGUAACCGUGUGAACACCUGAGGCCCGCUCAACGGGCAGGGCUCCCUGGAUAACCACUGCACGGCUUCUCCGAUGACCUCUCUUUCCACCUUCAACAAAAGGAAAGGUCUUAAGCGGGCCCAGCUUUCUUGGUUUUUCAAACAGAAGCCGCAAUGGAAAACAAGCUAGAUUUUUUACUUCGUGGGCACCGACCUAGGACUCCUGCCUGAAAUUGCCAACGGUGAUAAAAAUAAAAGUGCCUCUGUGCCUAGAACA